AAGUCGUAACAAGGUUUCCGUAGGUGAACCUGCGGAAGGAUCAUUAACGAGUUUUGAAAGGGGUUGUAGCUGGCUUCAAACGAGGCAUGUGCACACCCUGCUCAUCCACUCUCAACCUCUGUGCACUUACUGUAGGUCGGUCGAUGGCUCAGUGGCAACACUGGGUUUGAAGCCUUCCUAUGUUUUACUACAAACGCUUCAGUUAUAGAAUGUUACUCUGCGUAUAACGCAUCUAUAUACAACUUUCAGCAACGGAUCUCUUGGCUCUC
This 269-nucleotide unclassified non-coding RNA is filed under the name Phanerochaete sp. RNAcentral's name for it is "partial internal transcribed spacer region". The stretch from base 1 to 46 matches the Rfam family "Eukaryotic small subunit ribosomal RNA", at positions 1786 to 1831 of the family's 1831-position model. The record is from RNAcentral. Lineage: Eukaryota; Fungi; Basidiomycota; Agaricomycetes; Polyporales; Phanerochaetaceae.